This is a long non-coding RNA of Cavia porcellus (domestic guinea pig), 8014 nucleotides long. RefSeq lists it as uncharacterized. Lineage: Eukaryota; Metazoa; Chordata; Mammalia; Rodentia; Caviidae. The record is from RefSeq and is a predicted model, not a curated record. The transcript is spliced from 2 exons.
UCAUAAGAGCUGCUCUGUAUCAGUUAUUUGCAAGCAGAGAGGCUCAUCUUGUCCUAGAACUCUUCUUAAGAUUCAAAAGGCAAAGAAGAUGGAGAGGUUCAGUCCUUUUCCUAAGAAUCAUCUUGUUUUAGGCUCAGUCUUCAGUCUUCACAAGAUACAACUGAGUGCCAUGGAGAGAAUACAAAUCUGAGCCGAGACACAACGUUUGCCCGACCAUUGGACAUGCAGGUCAUUUCAGGGUUGUGGUCCUUGAUUUCUUCAUGCUGAUGCUAUAUCAGUUCUGUGAGAGCAGGAGCUCAGUUCAGCACAUUGCCUGACACGUAGCAGAGAGGAACGUAUUUGGAGGAUGAUAAAUGUGUGCAUCUGUAAAAUAGGAGGAAGAUUGUUAAUUCUGAGCACCAAGCAAAAAACAAUACACACACACACACACACACACACACACACACACACGCACGCACGCAUGCAUGCAUGCAAGCAUGCAUGCACAGUGAGUGAUCCCCAAGGUAAGAAAUAAAAGGGAUGGUUGUGGUCUAAGUCCUGAAUUCUGAAUUCCUGUCCCACUCUGCCAUUGCCUUGUUCCAUAGACUUUAGUCAGUCUUUAAUCAUCUUGUUCCUCCGAAUUUUCAGUUUCUAAAUAAGUAAUUGAUUAGUUCUCCGUUUAGUGUGGAUGGGACUGGAGACAGUGAUGUGUGUUUAUGUUGAAUGGAUCUUCCUAUAUGAGACACACUAAAUACAUUUGCAUUGACAUAACUGGUGUGUCUCAGCUGGAAAUUAUCACUGGAAAAUUGCAAACCAUGUCUGAUCCUGGAAUCAGACAACAUUUUUGGUGAUGCUUUGAAAAGUCAUCUGGAAAGGAAAGGGAAGGAGAAGCAUAGAGAAGAGAUGCAUUGUCAGAAGGAGGCAGAAUACAGUGUCAGAUACUGGAAAAAUUAAUGGGCUGAGAGAAGACAUAGGUUCUUAUUCCAGCCCUGCCUUGAAUUCCAAGUGAUAUUUAACAAGUCACUUCCCUCUCUGUGUUCACUCCCCUUCUCUUCUAAGAUGGUAGUUGGAUACCAGAUGAUACCUUUCAACUCUCUGAACACUACCUGGUCAAAUUUGUGCAGCUUACCCCAGCACUUGUAGCCUAGAGCACAGCUACUUGCUGAUUCUGCAGAGCAGGCCAUGCUCUGCUAGGCCAGCAGUCAAGAAGAAUGUAUUUCCUUACAUUCACAGGCACAGUCACCUCCCUAGGGAAAAUAGUUUAGCAACAGUGAGAUGCUGAACCUUGAGUUUGGCAGAAGGUGAGGUCAGACACUCUCUGAAGGGAACUCAUCCUUCGAUAUCCAAGUUACACUUUUAGACAGGUGAGCGUAGGGAAUGAACUCCAGACUUAGGUUAGGAGACUUCAGUCUAAAAGCCAAAUUUGGUACUGACUUCUCUUACCAUCCAGACUACUUCUUCCCAUUUCUGAGUUUCAGUUACCUGCCAUAAAACGAUACUCUUUGCUUUGAUUAUUUCAAAGAGACCUUUGCACUGUGGUCCUCUAUGUCACCUCCUUUCAGUACAGCAGGAUCAAAUGAGGGCAGAAGGGGACCUGGCUGGCAGCCCACUCUUAUAGGCAGCCUGUUUCUCUCUAUAAAGAAAAUCACCACUGAAUGAAUGGUCAGUUUUUAGCUGCCUGCAAUCAGAAGAGAACCCACUUGAGAGAGGAAACUGGGACCAAAUCUCAAGCUGUUGGACAUUUGAUUGCAAAACAAACAAAAGCGAUAAAAAACAGCCUAACCAAAAAAAAUUUUUUUUCAUCUGCUUAGUUUCUAUUGUAUGCCAAGUACUGUAAGCUUGCUCUGGUCUUCACAGGGCCAUCUUUUUUUUUGUCUUGCUCAUCCUGGUUUAGAGGUCAUCUUCCUAAGAGCAGCUCUUACCUGAGAAAAACCUGAAAAGGACGUGAUAGACUCACUUUUAGAUGAGUACCCUGAAGGUCAGUGUAAUCAUUUAAAACUUAAGUUGAGUUAUGUCACCUCCCAGUAUAAACGAGGCAGACACCAUCCCAUCACUGUUGGAAGGGCACUCACUCUGGCUUCUGCCUUUUCCCCAGCUCUGCUCUGUUGCAGCUGUCCUGGCCUCUGCAGAAUGCACUCCAGGCUCUGUCCACUCUGGGAUCCUUUGCACAAGCCAAUUCUUCCCCCAGAAUACUCUUCCUGGCUCUUCAACUGACAGCUUCUUUAAAUCCUUAAGACUUCUGCUGAAAUGUCAUCUCCUCAGAGAGGUAUUUCAAGAGAAUCCUAAGUAAUCCCUCUCCACCAAUUAUUUUUUAUCAUAGCACCAGUUGCCUCCUUCAUGACACAUUUCAUAAUUAAAAUGUUUUAUUUAGUUGCCAACUUGUUCAUUUCGGGCCUAUCUUUCCCACUUGAUUGUAAACUCCAGGAGGGCAGAAUCCAUGACUAGUUAGACACUUACAGUUAACACAGCACAUGACAGAAGCUCGUAUGGGAAGAGAGUGUGUUCAAAGGACAGUGUAAUAUUACUAAAGUGGAAGUAUUUGCUUUCAAAGAUCUCAUCUAAUUAGGAAGAGGCACAAAGAGACCAUCACACUGGUGCGUAAUCUUUCCACUUGCUAUCUGCAUAGGUAUAGACCAUCCUGAGGGGUCAGUGAGGCUUCCAAGGGUGGAGAAGUGAUUUUUGAGUUAUUAUCUCAAAACUAAUUAGGGAUCUACCUGAGAGAGCACCAAGUGAAGGUGAAUCAGUAUGAAUGGUGGUUAAGGUGUAAUGAAUAAGCGUGGAUGAGUCAUUUGUUCAACGUUAAGUGUUUUUAGGUGUUACAGACAUAGGAUCUCUUGAGGGGAACUUGAGGAGAUGAGCCAGAAGUGCCUGAUAUUUAAUAUCCAGGUAUUUAACAUUUUCCUGAAGAUAACAGGGGAAAGGGAAGGAUAUUAAGUAGAUGAAUUAUAAGAUUGGGGUAUAGCUUUUAAAAACUUUUUAAUUAUAAAAAUAAUGCUUAUCACUGUAGAAAACUUGAAGAUAAUAAAAACACAUCAAGAAGCCAAUGAGCUGUAGCUAACAGAGAAGGUGUUGCAGUGCUACCCAGCAUUGGGCUGAGAAGGGUUGGAACAGCCUGGACUGGAGACAGAAGAGUUUUUAGGAGCCUUAGAGGGGAAAGGAGGAAUGGAUGAUGAGCAUCUGAAUCUGCGCAGAGGCUAGGUAAAUGAAUGGAGAAGCCUUGCACAGAAAGGCACAUCUUAGACAAAGAUGGGCAGUGGGUUGUGGGAGAGGUGAAAGAGGACUGUGUUCACUCAUACCUCAUCCCUGGGAGGGAACUGAACACAUCAGAUAUCAGCAUCACACACAGACAUGGACAUUUUAUUGCCUACAAGGGCUGCCAGCCAGGUCACCAUUCUGAUAAACUGAACACCAGUUUACAGCCAACAAAUGCUUAAUGGGCAGAUAUAAGAUAGAUCUGAUUCUUGUUCCCUGGUCAGAAGAUGACCAACUCUUGAAUCUUGUGCAACAGUUUAAAUUUGUAAAGUUUCUUUACCUAUAAAUGAUAGUAGCAAGUUAACACAGAUAAAGCUGUGCAUGGUGGUACACACCUGUAAUCCCAGAAUUCAGGAGGCUGAGGAAGGUGGGUAGCCAUGAGUUCGAGGCCAAUCUGGGUUACAAAAUUAUUUCCAGUACAGCUUUAACUGCAUAGUGAGACCUUGCUUCAAAAAGACAAAAAAAAUAGUUAUCACAGAUAUAGACACUGCAAAAAUGAUAAGAAGUAUAUUGAUUUGAGACACAUAUAAAAGAAAACAUGCUAAGCAUCAAGUCUUAUUAGAGUUAUCUUUGAAUCAUGAUGAUGGCAAUAAAAUUGCCUUGAUGAUGGUGAUAAACACUGAUCAGUCUGUUCUUCCUGAGUAUUUUGAAAAAUGAAAUAUCUCUGAUUCUCAGCUAAUGCCCAAGGUCAAGAAGGUGCAAGACGAAGUGAGAUGAUUCAUAAAUAUUUAGCUCCUAUCCUGUGCCUUCUAUUAUGACAGACUCAUUUGCAUACGUUUUUCAUUUAUUCUUCAUAACAAUCUUAUCAUCUGUGUCUUAUGAACGAGAAAACUGAAGAGGUUAAGUCACUUGCACAAAGUCUCAGAGCAAUUAAGCUGCAGAGCUAAGAUUUGAUCUUAAAACUACAGGGCUUACUCUUGGACUAGGGUUCUCAUAUGAUUUCAUAGUUUCUCAACUGUGAGCCACUCUUUUAUGCUGGAGCAUUUCUGGAUAAACUCGUUCCACAGUCAUCACAGAGGGAGACUGGACAGAAGUCUCAACCAUUGUGUUCUGCACUGUGGUGGCUCCAUAGGUACCCGUCAUCUCUUCGCUUGUUUUAUUAACUAUUUACGAAUUCACCAGUGAACAUUGAGUCAGACACUGUGUUAGACCCUAAGGGUAGAAAGAAAAAAGACCCUAGUAUGAUUAAUGAUACAUAACAGCACUGUGAGUGUUUGAUGUGCCCUUUGAAGGAUGUAAGUCAUAGGUUGUACGUGGCCUUGUCAUACCAGUCGGUGUCUAGCCAGCGGAGAAAUAAUAUCAAAAUUUUCCACAAAGAGAAUUCAAUCAAAAGAAUAACAGCUAGGAAUAAUGAGUUGUUAGAUAACUUAAAAGACCAAAAGGGAAACAACAAAUUGUCACAGAUAGAGCCACUGCCGAAAGGAGCCCCUAUUCCUGGUAUUGGAGGGAUAAAAGGAAGAUGUGGGAAUUAUUAAAAUGCAAAAGUCUCGAUUAGUUUCCUUGCAAAGUUCAAACUUUACCCCAGGGAAGAAAUCCUUUCUCUGGUGGGCAUCUGAGUGUAGAGGAGGGAACCAGUGGGGCUGCAAAUUCUCAGAAGGGAUCACCACUAGGCAGUGCUGGUAUUUCUAAAGGAAUAUAUUGAAGUGUGUUCUGAAACUGAGGGGAAAUCUGAAAUGUGGAUUUGAUUGAUUUUGCAGGAACUGGACUGCUACUACUGGAAUGCAUCAGAAAGACUUGGGGGAUGCUGACAGGAAGAAUAAGCAGACAGGUUGUUUAUAGGAAAAAAAUAGAGGAUAGCGUUUUCUUCUUCCUCAUCCCACCUUGUAGUAUAGGAAAAAUCCAAUAAAGCUCCAUCUGGAAAUGUAGAAAUAAAGUUUGUAGGACCCUACCACACAAUAAUGUAUAAAAGAGUACAUUUGAAGUUAUAAAUAAUAGUGGAGAAGAAUAGAGCGUCAAAAUUUUGAAUGAUUUUAAGAAGAUUCCCUGGAAGGCAUGAUAUACUUUUCAGAGAAAGUCCUGAAUCUUACAGGAUGUGAGUGGGACUAAAAGGAGGAAAUUGUGAUGGUGCUACAAGUUGUUUUAAGAACUGAAAAUGAAGUCCAUAAAACACACAUACACACACACACACACACACACACACACACACACACACAUGACUGAUGUUAGGAAGAUGGUGAAAUGACUUUUGAGCCUUCAUGCCUUUGCAGAGACAUUGAUUUGAACAGCUAUUAAUACACAAAAAUACCUUCAUAAGAAUUAAGAAAUCCAAGCACAGAUGGCAGAAUCUGGGUAGAGCACAAAAACACGAAAAAAAUUCAUUGAUGAAGGUAGAAGGGACAGUUUCACUUUACUUACACUACCCUUCCCCCAAACCCCAGCAGCACCUCAUGGAGAGAUACUGUCACAUGGGAAAAGACAAUGCAGUGACUUUGCCAUAGACCCCAGCACCAGCAACAACCAGUGAACUCAGGUUCCAGGACAAACUCCGUAAAACUUGGCUCCAAGUCUAUUCUAGUGUCAGUCUUGAACCCAUGGUCCCUGGCUUUAAAAUGUCUCUCCCUCCAGGACUCAGGAUCCAAGCUGCUGCAGUGUGAGGCAUGCAACUUUAGACCAGAUUUGAGGCCAUUCGCCACUGAUCCAGUUGCAAUGUCUACACUACUGUAUUCUAGCACCAGGAAAACUUCCAUAUUCCUUUUUGUGACCUUCCUCCAAAGACCCCUUCACUAGGCCUACUCACACUGGUCUUUGUAUAUGAGGACUAUCCACAGCACAAGCUAAUCCCACCAGACAUUACACAUAGGAUCUUUGGAAAAGAUAAAUGGUAAAGUAAUUAACUUUUUGAAAGCCAUGUAUAAAUACUAGGAGAGCACAAAAAGAUUGUAAUUAUUAUAUAUUAUAAACAUAUACCAAUUUAAAAAGACUGAAAGAGGUGUUCACUCCUUUAAAUACAGGUGCCAACAUACGAUCCAAAAUAUUCAGAAAAACAUGAUGCUACCAACGGAUUAAAAGAAGGCACAAAUAACCUACCAAAAAGAAAUAAAGAUCUACAAACAAGCAUCUUAAUCUUGUUUCCCACAGAUCCUUGCUGGUGGCUGACACAUGUUGAGUGACUUAUCCAUGGCUAUGGCAGCUUUUGGUCUUCUGGGGCUCAGAGAGCUGGUGCUGGAGCACCAGCCAGCCUUGUAUUAGGAUCCAGCCCCUUGAUUUGAUGAAGCAUUUGCAAAGCAGGGCAGAGCUAAGGUGAUGGGAACUUAAUGUGAUGAAUGUCCUGCGUGUAGGCUACUGUGCUGGGCUUUACUGUUAGCAGACAAAUAAGGCAUAUUCACUACUCUCUGGAGUGCCCUACUUGAAUUGGGUGACAGAUCUUAUAUAGAAAAAGAUCAAUCACUGUGGAAGGCAGAUAAAUGCCAAAUGAGAGGGAGACACAGUGAGUCCCUUCAAACUAAAAAGACCAUUCACAGGACAUAGUUAGACUCCAUUUUCAGAGAAGGAAAAUGAGGGUCAGAAGAAAUGUGAGGAAAAUGAACGGCCAGGGAAGGGUAGAAGAGACAUGGUGAGGCUGAUGUAUUGUGGUCUAGUUCUCUCCCAUUUCCAGUACAUGGUACCAAUUUAUCUAAGUGUUAUCCAUCUCAUUUUGUUCACGAAGAAUGUGCACUUCAGAGCAGCUAAAUGGCAGAGCGGUUAAAUGGAGUAGAGCUUGAACUCAGAGUCUGUUUGAUUUUCACACUAUGUUUUGAUGGUAGCUCCAGUUAUCACAGAGAGCUGCAAAGAAGAGGUGGCACUUGUGCUGGUUCUUUAAAAAAGAAAAUAAAAGGCACAUGACUGCUGAAGGAAGAGCAUGUCUGUGGCAUUCCAGUGAGGAAUACAGAGGGGCAACAGGUGACCUGCAGGAACCUAGGGUUAGGCUGGGGCUGCAGGUGUCUUUCAGACAAGUUGAGAUGCUUUUUCCCAAAUGGCCUCCUAACUAAAUUGCCUUUCAGCCAUGAGUCCCCUGUCGUGGUUUAUGUUGGUGGCCCCCAGGCCUCAUCAUUUGCAUUGUGCAUUUGUGAUUGGUUCAUUGUCUAGCCCUUGGAUUGGGGGUGUGAGUGCUACAAUGGCCUAGGUGUGGAGCCAAGAUGUAACGUAAUGGCAGGGAAAAAAAAGGUGUGUCUCGCUCUCUUUUACCUGUUUCCUCCUUGCUGUUUGCAGCCGCCAUGAACUGCGGCCCAGCCAUGCGACCGCCUUCGAGCCAACUACGUAGAGACUAAAAUCUCCAAAAACUUAAGAAAUAAACCUUUCCUUUCCCAACUUUGGGCUUCAGGUAUUUUGUCUCAGCGACCAGUAAAACAUAACUAAGACAAAAUUCAGUAUCGAAAGCUUAACUAAAUGGAUUUAGCAAUUCUAUACCCAAGGAUGUUAAAGAAGACCCACCCUAGGGUGGCUCAUCACUUGGAGGUAUAAAAGGGAAGGAGGACAAAUGCAUUCCAUUCUUGGGAGAAGCUCCAGUCUUCACUUUUUGUUUGGACAUCGUCUCCUGGCUUCCAGUGUUGACUCUUCAGCUUUCCAGCAUAGAUUCUUCAGCCUUUCAUCGUAGAGCCUUCAGCCUUCUCUCACAGACCCAUCAGCCUGCUGGUGUGGACUAGGGUGAACUCCAGACCUUGGAUUGAAUCCUUCGGCCUCCAAGGCAUAGACACCCUCUCCAUGCUUCCUCAUUGGACUCUGUGGCUGACCAUCAUAAGCCAAUCUUGUUGUUUCUGUGUAUCUCAUGUUAUAGCUGUUCUGUCUAGUAAAACCGUAACUAAUA